RNAcentral lists this ribosomal RNA (253 nucleotides) under uncultured bacterium. RNAcentral describes it as "partial 16S ribosomal RNA". It matches the Rfam family "Bacterial small subunit ribosomal RNA", at positions 524 to 776 of the family's 1533-position model. The record is from RNAcentral.
UACGAAGGGUGCAAGCGUUACUCGGAAUUACUGGGCGUAAAGCGUGCGCAGGCGGUUCGUUAAGUCAGCUGUGAAAGCCCCGGGCUUAACCUGGGAAUGGCGGUUGAAACUGGCGAACUUGAAUCUGGCAGAGGGGGGUGGAAUUCCACGUGUAGCAGUGAAAUGCGUAGAGAUGUGGAGGAACACCGAUGGCGAAGGCAGCCCCCUGGGCUGAGAUUGACGCUCAGGCACGAAAGCGUGGGGAGCAAACAGG